This 160-nucleotide non-coding RNA is filed under the name uncultured Prevotella sp. Lineage: Bacteria; Pseudomonadati; Bacteroidota; Bacteroidia; Bacteroidales; Prevotellaceae. The record is from RNAcentral.
CUGGUUCACGAUAAGUGAUGAAAAGGGAAUAGGGUGAGAAUCCCUGACAGUCCCGCUGCUGUGAGUUGUCCUUCACUGUCGAGGAAAAAAGCCACUGGCACGCUGCCGGGAAGGUAUCUAGGACACGACAACAAAGUCAGAAGACCUGCCGUCGCAUUUU